GAGGCGACGAGUGGCGAACGGGUGAGUAACGCGUAGGAAUCUACCUAGUAGUGGGGGAUAGCCCGGGGAAACUCGGAUUAAUACCGCAUACGCCCUACGGGGGAAAGGCCGGGAUCUUCGGACCGGUCACUAUUGGAGGAGCCUGCGUAGGAUUAGCUAGUUGGUAGGGUAAAGGCCUACCAAGGCGACGAUCCAUAGCUGGUCUGAGAGGAUGAUCAGCCACACUGGAACUGAGACACGGUCCAGACUCC
This 251-nucleotide ribosomal RNA is filed under the name uncultured bacterium. RNAcentral describes it as "partial 16S ribosomal RNA". It matches the Rfam family "Bacterial small subunit ribosomal RNA", at positions 85 to 339 of the family's 1533-position model. The record is from RNAcentral.